This is a long non-coding RNA of Saccostrea echinata, 898 nucleotides long. RefSeq lists it as uncharacterized. The transcript has 3 exons. NCBI's taxonomy places the organism in Eukaryota, Metazoa, Mollusca, Bivalvia, Ostreida, Ostreidae. The record is from RefSeq and is a predicted model, not a curated record.
GAAUGUCUGUCUUAUCCUUGCAUGAACAACGGGUCAUGUGUAGAUGUAUUUGGAUCCUUCUUCUGUGAAUGUAUCAAUGACUGGGGUGGACCGCUUUGUGAAAUUGAUUUAUGCAAAACAAUACAAGCUCAGAUAGUUUUUGCAGUCGAUUCCUCCUUUAGCACUACGGAAUCAGUCUUGAAAGAGCAAGUCCAGUUUAUUUCCAAUGUAAUUAAAAGGAUAACGGUUUCUGAAGAAAAUUUGACAUUGCACUUGUAUCUUAUGGAACUGAUGCACAAGUAUAUAUUCCUUUUGGCGCAUAUAAUAAAAGCAUUGAAUUACUCAACCAAGUAUCAACAUUUCCUUUAUAAACGGAACAACUGAUAUUUUUAAAGCGUGUCAGAAAGUAAAGAAGAUUUUGUCUAAGAAACUCUACACUUCGCAGUUCGUCUUAUUUCUCACUGAUGGAAUGCCUAGUAGCUUGCAAUUAGCUUUCAGUGCUAUGAAAUCAUUGCGUUACCAGAUACAAGCCACCAUGCCAUGGAAUGACGUCAUUCUUGUUGAAGUUGGUGAAGAUAUACAUCAUGAAAGUCUACGUAGGUUAUCCUCGAAUGGCGAUGUCAAAAAUGUGUUCAGUCAUGUAAACAUGGACGCAUUGUUUUAUAUUUUUACGAAACUGGUAAACGCCAAGUGCUCUGCAUGCAAGCAACAAAGGUCAAUUGAUCUCAUUCUGGCUCUUGAUACAUCUUCAGCACAGCAUAAAACUACCUUCACCUCUGGUCUUUCAAUUUUCAAAACCAUUUUACAAAAACUUCAUCAGAAUUUCGUCCUUGGUGAAAAUAACUUGCAAAUCGGUGCCGUCCAUAUUUCUUCAGAACCAGUGCUCAUGAUUAGGCUGAACCAAUCGCAAGAUUUAAAC